UCGCGAGAGGAACAUGGCCGCGGCGGGCCGGGGAAUGUGGUGAAACAGACACUUUAGGAGGGUGCUAGAGAUAUAAGGUAAGUGCUGUAUCUUAAAAAAAAUUAAACAUUUUAAAUAAGUUAUUUUAAUAAAGUUGCUGUGCUUUUUUUUAGUAAGCAGUGUAUCCCUUUAAGUUGUGCUGGUUUUAUAAUCCUGUUAAAAUGGAAGGUUUUCCAGGAGAUCUGUUCCUAUACAAACAGAAAUUUGGUUAUAUGUAGUACUUGUAUUACAUAAACUUAAGAGCAAGUUAUUGUGAUUUUAUGCUUUGACUUUUGAUAUGAGUGGGUUUUAAUCACCUCUUUAGAUUGUGACUUAAAUACUCAUGUGCUGAUUAAACAAUAUUUUCUCUUUUUAAAGGACUGCCAUGCUUGCAAGCCUUCACAGAUGUUAGAUGUUUUCCAAAUGUGAAUAGUUUUGAUAUUAAAACUUGGGUCUGUAGAGCAUUUUGUUUAUUUUUAACAGUUCUUCUGCAGUGACUCAGGCUUGUACCAGCACAGCACCUCCAGAGAGACUCUAGACUCCAUGUGGUUUGGUUAAAUCAAUCCAGUUAUAGAUGAGGAAAAUUCUCUCUCAAAGGGAGUAGCUAAGGGUGUUUAAUGGCUGCUGAUAGUGCUGUUUCAGGAGGUGUUAAGAAGGGAAGUCAAGCAACGUAGUAAAACAAGGAAGUUGGGUUAUAUUGACUAACACAUUUUCAGUUCUGGAACUGUGUGCUUCUGGUGUUCAGCUGGUCCCUAAAUGGUGAAAAUUCUGAUCCUGCCCUUCCCUCCUCAUCUUCUGUGUGGGAAAAAGAGGGUGGGACAGGUUGCCUGAUUUUCAGGAUUACCAAGACUGAGUAUCAAACUUAAAGCCUCUUGAUAGUUUCUAUUGAGGCCUCCUAGAUGAACCAGAGCAUUGGUUCCACCUCUGCAGAAAAAGCAGACACUGCACAGGACUCAUGGCUAAGAGCUGCUCCAGAGACUGGAAGAACAAGAUGUACAGAACUGGAUAUGCACAGAAGGGGGUAUGUAUCUGUAACAUUGAUGUAUUCCAACAAUUCCCAGAACUGUGUUAGGCAAAAAGUCCCAGCUAGAAACACUUAAAGGCAGGGGAGCUUCCCCUCACCUGAAGGCAAGGUGUGUUCAGGCUUGUGUGCAGGCUCUGUGAAGAGCAGGUUGGAUUAGACUUGGCAGACCAGUUCAUUUUGUGUCCUUUAGUAAAUCUGCAACCAUUGAUUCUUACUGUGAAUAAAUCUGCUGCAUGUCCAAAAAAAGAGAUAAACAACUGAAAUUAAGGCUGUUUGUACUUGACAGCCAUGAAUGUUUCAUGUUUGCUUCUUCAAAUGAAAUUUUUCCAUGCUGUGCUGAGGACAGGGAACCAGUAUUCCUGGCAUUGUUUUUAAACCUUUUUAGCACCUGAAGUUCAAGAGCCAAAACUGCCCAGUGUUAGUUACAGUAUAUAACUUUUUUCAAAAGUUCCUUCUGUGGCAAAGAUUGAUAUCUACCACAAAAAUCUUCCAUAUCCUGAAACUCCAAAGCAAAUGCACAUUACAGAAUUUAUUCAAGUGUUCAGAUUACUGUUAUUAAAUCCAGAUGUUAAUGUAACAGUUUUGCACUUGUGCAAUAAACUGGAUCUCUGUGAUUGUUGACUCAGUAGAGAGUAUUUUAAGAUUUCAUAUUUGGUACUUGGCUUAAGCCAUUAAUUAAAUGUUUGAAAAGGGGCUUUUACCUAGGCAUGGUGCCAAAAGCAACAGAGGGAGAGAGCAGUCCUAGUUACACUCAAUUUUGAUCUUCACAUCAACUAGUGAAACACUAAUUAACAAAAAAUAAAGACAAAAAGGAAACCCACUGGCUUUCCACCCUUCUAAGUGAAUUUAUGACAUAGGUAGUCCUAGUUACAUACCUGAGAAGGAUAUGCAGUUGUGUUCUUAUUUCCACAUUUUGUGUCUAAUGCUAGAAGCCUGCUGGAAGGCUAGGGAACCGUUGCUGAAAACUUGUUUACAAAUUCUAGAGACAUUAAAAUUAAUUUCUUAGUCAUUCUUUAAAUGCAAAAGAGGUAGCUCAUAAAAAUUCAGCAGAGAAACUCGUUAAAAUGAGUUCAAAUUAUUAGUGUAUUCAGUAAAGUCCAGUUAAUACCCCAAAAUAGUUCUUACAUCUCAUGUAGAGGCAAAUUUCCCAAUAUUUCCUAUGCAAAAACAGUAGAAGAGACACAGAAUUCCAGAUACUGAAAUUCUGUUUAGUUCCAUUGCUGCAAUGUUUAAUUUUGUUCCCUGUAUUUUUAAAAUUUAAAACGCGUAGCUUGGUAAAGUUGCAAUCCAGCAAAGCUUUAAGCACGUGUUUCUGACACUAAAUGAGUUGCACAAAGUUGAACACAAGCUUAAAACUUUUCAUGAUUUAUAACCACAUGUUAGUAAGGCUUUAGGGAAGUAAUGCUGUGACACAGGCAGAGCAGUGUGAGUGUGUCUGUGGUGGCUGUCUCAUCCUUACACUGCUAAGUUCUGUGUGCAGGUGCUCUCCUGCUCCAUUGGCAGGGGUUUGGUGUAAGUUGGGAAUUAGGGGUUUGUACUUAGGUAUUAUCUGAGAGAACACCUGAUGUCACCCUUAAUCUCCAUUGUGUUUUAAAAUGCUCCCAAAGUGUGUUACCAGUCUGUUUGUUCACUGUGCAUUGGCCAUCUGGGCACAUUCCCUUGUACAUGAGUGACUGGAAGAGUGAAAACAGAGGAGUGUUUGUACUUUUAUGAUCUUCCCUUGGUGCCCUGGCAGGUGAGAGUCUCAGGAUUGGUGUAUUCUGAGAGUGAAGCCUGCUGAAUAUACUGAGAUGGCCACACAGAAUCUAGUGGGGAUCUCCCACUAGUUCGUUAUGGUUGGCCUGAAUUGUACCAUUUGUGUGCUAUUUUAGGAGUUUUUGAACGGACUAAUAAAUCUCUCUGAACUA
Molecule: long non-coding RNA, 2949 nt
Organism: Sturnus vulgaris (Common starling)
Lineage: Eukaryota; Metazoa; Chordata; Aves; Passeriformes; Sturnidae
Source: RefSeq, a predicted model, not a curated record